This 460-nucleotide ribosomal RNA is filed under the name uncultured bacterium. RNAcentral describes it as "partial 16S ribosomal RNA". It matches the Rfam family "Bacterial small subunit ribosomal RNA", at positions 338 to 795 of the family's 1533-position model. The record is from RNAcentral.
CCUACGGGAGGCAGCAGUGGGGAAUAUUGGUCAAUGGACGAGAGUCUGAACCAGCCAAGUAGCGUGAAGGAUGACUGCCCUAUGGGUUGUAAACUUCUUUUAUGUGGGAAUAAAACGUUCCACGUGUGGGAUUUUGUAUGUACCAUAUGAAUAAGGAUCGGCUAACUCCGUGCCAGCAGCCGCGGUAAUACGGAGGAUCCGAGCGUUAUCCGGAUUUAUUGGGUUUAAAGGGAGCGUAGGUGGAUUGUUAAGUCAGUUGUGAAAGUUUGCGGCUCAACCGUAAAAUUGCAGUUGAAACUGGCAGUCUUGAGUACAGUAGAGGUGGGCGGAAUUCGUGGUGUAGCGGUGAAAUGCUUAGAUAUCACGAAGAACUCCGAUUGCGAAGGCAGUUCACUGGACUGCAACUGACACUGAGGCUCGAAAGUGUGGGUAUCAAACAGGAUUAGAUACCCGUGUAGUC